Molecule: long non-coding RNA, 487 nt
Filed under: Gossypium barbadense (sea-island cotton)
Lineage: Eukaryota; Viridiplantae; Streptophyta; Magnoliopsida; Malvales; Malvaceae
Description: long non-coding RNA (GBAR_LNC001713)
Source: RNAcentral
UUUAUCGUUUUCAGUUGCUUAGUCAAGGUACUCACGAUUCAAUCAAAUGAUAUUGAGCAUGUUUCCCAUAUCUUCUCGAUCAAUUGCUGUGGAUUCUGUUUUAGUAGAAGAUUCUAUUCAUGAGGAGCGAUUCGCGUUCUUUCAAUAGUAGUUAUCUCUCCCCUUCAUCUGGAAGGAAGAGGAAAUCGACCCCCAGCAAUUGGUAAUCAUUCCUGGCCGGCUGGCCGAGGUCGAGUUCCUCCCUUAUUGAGAAUCUAUAUGGCUUUGUUCGUCUCUAUUAUUUAUUUUUCAAUAGCCAAAAACUUGAGUUUCAAGUCUGCGAUAGGUCAAUGUACUAGGGCUCAUGCCCAAAUGGGGGCUUUCUUUUCUCUUGCAUGCGCCUUCGUUACUCAUUCAUUCAAAUCAAAGGAAGCUCCAUCGGUAAAAGGGAUAGGGAUGGCGCAUUGGCUUGGUUGGCGGCUGGCGAGCUUAGCUUAGAUAAAAGGUU